RNAcentral lists this ribosomal RNA (638 nucleotides) under uncultured bacterium. Its description in RNAcentral is "bacterial SSU rRNA". It matches the Rfam family "Bacterial small subunit ribosomal RNA", at positions 30 to 666 of the family's 1533-position model. The record is from RNAcentral.
AUGACCCUGGCGGCAUGCCUUACACAUGCAAGUCGAACGGUAACAGGUCUUCGGACGCUGACGAGUGGCGAACGGGUGAGUAAUACAUCGGAACGUGCCCAGUCGUGGGGGAUAACUACUCGAAAGAGUAGCUAAUACCGCAUACGAUCNNAGGAUGAGAGCGGGGGACCUUCGGGCCUCGCGCGAUUGGAGCGGCCGAUGGCAGAUUAGNGUAGUUGGUGGGAUAAAAGCUUACCAAGCCGACGAUCUGUAGCUGGUCUGAGAGGACGACCAGCCACACUGGGACUGAGACACGGCCCAGACUCCUACGGGAGGCAGCAGUGGGGAAUUUUGGACAAUGGGCGAAAGCCUGAUCCAGCAAUGCCGCGUGCAGGAUGAAGGCCUUCGGGUUGUAAACUGCUUUUGUACGGAACGAAAAAGCUUCUCCUAAUACGAGAGGCCCAUGACGGUACCGUAAGAAUAAGCACCGGCUAACUACGUGCCAGCAGCCGCGGUAAUACGUAGGGUGUGAGCGUUAAUCGGAAUUACUGGGCGUAAAGCGUGCGCAGGCGGUUAUGUAAGACAGAUGUGAAAUCCCCGGGCUCAACCUGGGAACUGUAUUGUGACUGCAUGGCUAGAGUACGGUAAGGGGGAUGGAA